Molecule: non-coding RNA, 54 nt
Organism: Salmo salar (Atlantic salmon)
Lineage: Eukaryota; Metazoa; Chordata; Actinopteri; Salmoniformes; Salmonidae
Source: Rfam
AAUGCACCAAUUUGUAAGUCGCUCUGGAUAAGAGCGUCUGCUAAAUGCUAAAUG